ACCAUUAAUUUUCAUGAACCCCUAAUCUAUAAUGAAUGACUCCAUAUUUAUAUGGAAGACACCAUGCUAGGAUUAGUAACAAGAAUUUAUAAUUCUCCAAAAUGCAAAUAUAAACCAACAUGGAUGGACCAUUGGUAGUUACCGAACCUAAAUUCAAUGCAACAACACCUACAAGAAAACUCUGCAGUACUUACUCGUUAACCUAACACCAGCGCAUUACAGGAAAGAUUUAAAAAAAGAGAAGGAAUUCGGCAAAUGACGGCCCCGCCUGUUUACCAAAAACAUCGCCUCUUGACUUAUAAUAAGAGGUCCAGCCUGCCCAGUGAAUUUUAAACGGCCGCGGUAUCCUAACCGCGCGAAGGUAGCAUAAUCACUUGUUCUUUAAAUGGGGACUCGUAUCAACGGCAUCACGAGGGUUUUACUGUCUCCUCUUUUUGAUCAGUGAAAUUGAUCUUCCCGUGAAGAAGCGGGAAUAAAUUUAUAAGACGAGAAGACCCCAUGGAGCUUUAAACCAAAUAACAACUUAACCACUUAUCCCAUAAUAAAUUUAAGCCCUGUUAUAAGGUUUUUGGUUGGGGUGACCGCGGAGUAAAACACAUCCUCCACGACGAAAAAAACAGAAUUUUUAUUUAAGAACCACACUUCUAGAAAUUAGUAUACUAACGUUUACUGACCCGACAAUCGAUCAACGGACCAAGUUACCCUGGGGAUAACAGCGCAAUCUACUUCAAGAGCUCAUAUCGACAAGUAGGCUUACGACCUCGAUGUUGGAUCAGGGUAUCCCGGUGGUGCAGCCGCUACCGAAGGUUCGUUUGUUCAACGAUUAAAACCCUACGUGAUCUGAU
RNAcentral lists this ribosomal RNA (845 nucleotides) under Polypedates leucomystax (Java whipping frog). Its description in RNAcentral is "partial 16S ribosomal RNA". It matches the Rfam family "Bacterial large subunit ribosomal RNA", at positions 1533 to 2609 of the family's 2925-position model. The record is from RNAcentral. Lineage: Eukaryota; Metazoa; Chordata; Amphibia; Anura; Rhacophoridae.